This 729-nucleotide long non-coding RNA is filed under the name Carica papaya (papaya). Its description in RNAcentral is "long non-coding RNA (CPAP_LNC006401)". The record is from RNAcentral. Lineage: Eukaryota; Viridiplantae; Streptophyta; Magnoliopsida; Brassicales; Caricaceae.
GUCCAUAUUGUUCUGGUUUCGUUGGUAAGGCUCCAUACUCUUCCUGCUUCUUUGGUGAGGCUCCAUAUUGCUCCAGUUUAUUUGAUAAGACUCGACAUCACUCUGGUUUCCUUGGUAAGGCUCCAUAUUGUUCAGGUUUCUUUGGUAAGGGUCCAUAUUGUUCUGGUUUCGUUGGUGAGGCUCCGUACUCUUCCUGCUUCUUUGGUGAGGCUCCAUAUUUUUCCAGUUUCUUUGAUGAGGCUCGACAUCAUUCUGGUUUCCCUGGUAAGGCUCCAUAUUGUUCAGGUUUCUUUUGUGAGGCUCCAUGUUGUUCAGGUUUCUUUGGUAAGGGUCCAUAUUGUUCUGGUUUCGUUGGUGAGGUUCCAUACUCUUCCUGCUUCUUUGGUGAGGUUCCAUACUGUUCCAGUUUCUUUGAUAAGGCUCGACAUCACUCUGGUUUCCUUGGUAAGGCUCCAUAUUGUUCAGGUUUCUUUUGUGAGGCUCCACAUUGUUCUUAUUUGUUUGGUUAUUCUCCAUAUUGUUUGGGUUUCUUUGGCGAGGUUCCAUAUCAUUCUGGUUCUGAGAGAAAGUUUUCAGACUGUUCUGGCUUUUUUGUGAAGAUUCCAAAUUGUUCUGUUUUUCUUGAUGAGGUUCCAUAUCAUUCUGGUUCUGAGAGAAAGUUUUCAGACUGUUCUGGCUUUUUUGUGAAGAUUCCAAGUUGUUCUGUUUUUCUUGGUGAGGUUCCAUAUU